Molecule: long non-coding RNA, 2044 nt
Filed under: Homo sapiens (human)
Lineage: Eukaryota; Metazoa; Chordata; Mammalia; Primates; Hominidae
Description: PREDICTED lncRNA (TCONS_00140873)
Source: RNAcentral
AUCUCUUCUCUGCCGCUGGCGUAGGGGCGGGGGCGGGGGACAGUGUCUUCAGCAAAAGUCUGCGGAUAGAAAGGCCCCGCUCCUGUCCGGACAGCAGGAAUGGGAGAGCCGCCUCCAACCCCAGCCCCAUGGAGCAGGGCAGAAACGCUGCCCACUGCCCUGCUCCUGCCACCAGGAAGGGCGUGUGGGGGGCCACUUUCUGUAAAGAAGAAACCGCCUGAACAACAAGUGGCUCAAGGCACCCUUGUCUAACGACCAGGGACACUGAGCGCCAGGGCCCAAGUCACCAGCAAGAGAAAACCCAGGCGGAGCCCAGGGUGUCCCCCACUGCCCACCAGCCACUGCGGUCAACGUGAAGGGCAAGGGUGCAAGCGGGAUCGCGUCACAGGGAGCCGAGUGAGCCCAGAAAGUAGGAGAAGGACGUUUCCACCCACCUGGAGCGCAGUCCGUUUGCAGCCGGCGGCAGAAUGCUGCUGUCUCCAUCAAUAAAGUCCAUGUUAGCCACCUAGAGGAUAAAAUACCACGAGGAGGAGUAGCAAGGUGCCCCUGUUGACAGAUCUUGAAGCACAAGCUCACUCCCAGAAGCACAGCUGCCUAGUCAACAAACAGCUGACAAUACAUGUCUGAAGGAGCUCAGCUGGGAACAGAAGAAUGGCCCCACUGAGCCUAGCCUAAAUGGCGGACCAUCUCAAUUAUGAGCUAAUAAGUUUUGGAUGAUUUGUUAUGCUGCCAUACCUAACUAAUACAUGCACCCAGUGCAGAUUGGGUGUCAAGAUUUAAAGACAGUUUGAUUAUUAGUCACCUUCUAACAAUGGGCACCCUAAAGGUACUGACAUUUUUCCCGAUUUAAAGUUAAAUGUCUUGUAAGGCAAUGUUGACUGAUGCAGGAAUACUUGUAGACAUGUAUGCAUGUGAUUGGUGCUUAUAUGCACACAGUCCCCCACACCACAGGAAAAAACCGAUGACCAGAGCCUGACCAUUAUGGCCAAGGCCAAAUAGCCAAAGUUUGCCUUUAAUCUAUUUUCUUCAUAUCUAAAAAUUGGAGGUCAAUACUGUGGACAGGUCUGAAGACAUAGAGUUUUGUUCUCCUGUGGCCCCAUCAUUCUUCAGUGGUCUACCUGUGGUUAUUUUAUUCUUGUUACCUUCUGCUCUUUCUAUGACCACUAUCUGUUCCACCCUUGAAACUGAAGACAGAUGUUAGUAGAAAGAGGCUGUUCCCUCAUGUCGGGCAUGUGGGAUACGAUGAGGUUUCUCUUCAAAUAGCCUGAUCAAUCUUUUAUUCUUUAAUUCAUAGUACCCACACACACACCCCUUUUUUUCCUUUUUCUCCUUUUUCCUUUCUGCCUUUGUUAGAUGCCCAGGCACGCCACAGUACCAGGCAUUAUCAGUACCAGCUCACAUUUCUUCCCUUAUUUGGAAAGAGGACUAACUUUCUAGCUCAAUGCAGACACCCCUUCCCCUUCCUCUCUGCAUUCUUUUGCAUGCCCACCUUAUCUAAAAAAAUCAAAUGUUUAGCCAACCAGGAUUAGUUCAGAUUGUACGACCCGACCCUGGCCAAUGGGGAAAGGGUACAGGGGCAGGACUUGUGUCAGGAAUAAAGGCUCUUGUGCCCCUUUGUUCAGGUGUGCUCUCAUGGUGACUGGACAAGAACGCACCCCUCUGUGCAGAACUAAAAUUGCUUUGCUAGGAAUCCUUUGUUCGAGUGUUCAAUUUCCUUAUGAUUUUGAGCGUUAUUCCUAACAGGAAGAAAAGGGAUAUUCAGGCCUUUCACAGACCUGACAACAGAGCUGCACUUCAAUGUGACAGGUAUUGACCAUGUGUGACUCCUGGGAGCCUGGAAUGUGGCUGGUCUGAGCUGCAAUUUGCAAGAAAGGUAAAAUGCAGAGUUAGUUUCAAAGAUUUAGUUCCAUAAAUAUAAAAAUAUACAACAUAUAGAUAAAAAUAUCUAUAUAUAAUAUGGAUAAAAAUACAUAGCAUAAUGCAAUAUAUAGAUACAUAAUUAUGUUAUAUAUAAAUAUAUAUCUCAUUCAUAAUUAUACAUUGC